GGAAUGUAGCUCAGGUGGUAGAGGGCUUGCCUAUCAUUCUAGAGGUCUUAGGUUGGAUCCCAAGUACCA
Molecule: transfer RNA, 69 nt
Filed under: Mus musculus (house mouse)
Lineage: Eukaryota; Metazoa; Chordata; Mammalia; Rodentia; Muridae
Description: tRNA-Asp
Source: RNAcentral